CGCAAGGCCGCGGCUUUGGCCGCUCCAAUCCUCGUGCUGUGUCCCAGAGGGCACCCCUCUGCGGCUCUGCUUCAAAUCCUUGGCUAUGCCUUGGACGGUACUGUAUCCAGUGGUUACUUGCCCUGGCUUCUGUUUGCUAACUGCUUAGCCGUUAAGCUUCAUUGUCUUCCUCUGAGGCCCUCGCUACUCGCUGUCCUAGCAUGCGUGAUGAGAUGGUUGGGCAAGUGAAGCAUCUCUGUUGGUGGCAGUGUGUGCCUCUCUAGACGGCGUGUGCCGGCUACAUCGGGCCCGUGGGGCUUCCAACCAAUUACGGUCAGAGUUGCCGUUUUGUCCUCCCCUGCUUCUUGUUCCUCCUGCUGCUCACGGUGACUGCUGCUCCCGCAAACUGCUGCCUAGUAAUUCUGCUGCUUGCUUGGCUGCUUGAUGUUGGGUUGCGGGGUGCAUGAAGCUACGCUUGCCUGUUGCGCUGUGUCACUUGUCCCGUGAAUUGAACUGUGUUUUUAAUUGUCUGUUCCUGUUGUCCAAAUUGGUCCUCGUCCAUAUUUGUGCUUUGCUUGUGCUGCUUAUGGUGAUGGUGCAGUAGCCCUUAUGAGAGUUCCAAUGCCAAAUGUGAUGUGCUGACUAAUCCGCAUGCUGUGCGUCCUUGGUUUGCUGUGAUUUGUUUAUGGUUUUGUUUAUUUUGUUUUGCAGUGCUUUUUCAUUCAUUUUGUUUCAUUUGCAGUGUUUGUUACUAAUUUUGUUUUGUCUCUGCAUCACUGGUAUUUGUGAAUACCUCCACUAGGGUGGAACACUACCUGUAGCCCAAGUCAUUGUGAAGUGUGUGUGUGUGUGUGUGUGUGUGUGUGUGUG
This is a long non-coding RNA of Engraulis encrasicolus (European anchovy), 849 nucleotides long. RefSeq lists it as uncharacterized. The record is from RefSeq and is a predicted model, not a curated record. The transcript is spliced from 3 exons. NCBI's taxonomy places the organism in Eukaryota, Metazoa, Chordata, Actinopteri, Clupeiformes, Engraulidae.